This 272-nucleotide ribosomal RNA is filed under the name uncultured bacterium. Its description in RNAcentral is "partial small subunit ribosomal RNA". It matches the Rfam family "Bacterial small subunit ribosomal RNA", at positions 26 to 285 of the family's 1533-position model. The record is from RNAcentral.
AGAAUCAACGCUGGCGGCGUGCCUAACACAUGCAAGUCGAACGCGAAAGUCCCGCAAGGGGCAAGUAGGGUGGCAAACGGGUGAGUAACACGUGGGUGACCUGCCUUCGAGUGGGGGAUAACGUCCCGAAAGGGACGCUAAUACCGCAUGACAUCCUGUCCUUAGACGGACGGAGAUCAAAGCUGGGGAUCGCAAGACCUGGCGCUUGAAGAGGGGCCCGCGCCUGAUUAGCUAGUUGGUGAGGUAACGGCUCACCAAGGCUACGAUCAGUA